This 720-nucleotide ribosomal RNA is filed under the name uncultured bacterium. RNAcentral's name for it is "bacterial SSU rRNA". It matches the Rfam family "Bacterial small subunit ribosomal RNA", at positions 141 to 851 of the family's 1533-position model. The record is from RNAcentral.
GGAUAACAGGAGGAAACUCCUGCUAAUACCGCAUAGCCAUGAGCACCGCAUGGAGCUCAUGCCAAAUAUCCUUUCGGGGAUAGCGCAGGGAUGGACCUAUGGCGCAUUAGCUUGUUGGCGGGGCAACGGCCCACCAAGGCAACGAUGCGUAGCCGGCCUGAGAGGGCGGACGGCCACAUUGGGACUGAGACACGGCCCAGACUCCUACGGGAGGCAGCAGUAGGGAAUUUUCGGCAAUGGGGGAAACCCUGACCGAGCAACGCCGCGUGAGCGAAGAAGGCCUUCGGGUCGUAAAGCUCUGUUGUAAAGGAAGAACGGCGCAUACAGGAAAUGGUAUGCGAGUGACGGUACUUUACCAGAAAGCCACGGCUAACUACGUGCCAGCAGCCGCGGUAAUACGUAGGUGGCGAGCGUUAUCCGGAAUCAUUGGGCGUAAAGAGGGAGCAGGCGGCCGCAAGGGUCUGUGGUGAAAGACCGAAGCUAAACUUCGGUAAGCCAUGGAAACCGGGCGGCUAGAGUGCGGAAGAGGAUCGUGGAAUUCCAUGUGUAGCGGUGAAAUGCGUAGAUAUAUGGAGGAACACCAGUGGCGAAGGCGACGGUCUGGGCCGCAACUGACGCUCAUUCCCGAAAGCGUGGGGAGCAAAUAGGAUUAGAUACCCUAGUAGUCCACGCCGUAAACGAUGGUCACUAAGUGUCGGGGGUCAAACCCCGGUGCUGCAG